AUGGAUCAUUAACAGCACCUAUACUACAACUGGAAUUUUACAGAGAAGAUUAACAUGGCCCCUAUGCAAGGAUGAUAUGCAAAUUUGUGAAGCAGUCCAUGUUUUU
Small nuclear RNA from Vulpes vulpes (red fox), 106 nucleotides. NCBI's taxonomy places the organism in Eukaryota, Metazoa, Chordata, Mammalia, Carnivora, Canidae. The record is from Ensembl.